GUGUUUGCUUAGGUAGCACAUAUUCUAAAUUUGGAACAACACAAAGAUUAGCAUGGCCCUGAGCAAAGACGACAUGCAAAUUUAUGAAGGAUUCCACUACAGA
Molecule: small nuclear RNA, 103 nt
Organism: Otolemur garnettii (small-eared galago)
Lineage: Eukaryota; Metazoa; Chordata; Mammalia; Primates; Galagidae
Source: Ensembl